GGGGGAGCUGAGACAUGACCCUGUAGGAUUUUUCUUCCUGCCCAUAUGCUUUGAAGCUGGACCAUUAGCUCUAAGGCAUGCAUCUCAUCUGUUCGCAGUGAUUCAACCUGCUUCUUGGGAAAAAAAGAGCCUAGGGUCUUCCUGCAAACUGUGUGUUGGUGGGCCGGCAUCAAGAGCCCUUGACUACAGG
Molecule: long non-coding RNA, 190 nt
Organism: Manis pentadactyla (Chinese pangolin)
Lineage: Eukaryota; Metazoa; Chordata; Mammalia; Pholidota; Manidae
Exons: 2
Source: RefSeq, a predicted model, not a curated record